CAGAAGGAAAAAGAAUGGCGUGAAGCUUCUCAACUCAGAGUUCAGGCACUGGAAGAAACUAUAGCUGAAAAAGAUAGGGAGUUCAGACACUAGGAAAAGUUGAGAUUUCGUAAGUUGAAGGAUGAUUUUGAGUAUAACUUCAAACCUAUAUUAGAACGAGAUCAAGAGUUAGAGAAAUAUGAUACGGUGAUUGGUAAAGUUAAGGAAGAUGAGCACGUUAAGACUGCUCAAGUUAGUGAAUUGUGUGUGAAGAUUGAUGAAUUCAACAUCAAAUUACAAAAUGAACAGAAGUCCAAAGAGGAGCUACAGAAACACUACCAAAAGAGAUUGCAAGAAUAUCAGAAUCAAUUUAAAGCUUUUCAAGAAGAGAAAGAUAAUGUAGUUGCUAAAGAACGGGAGGAGCUUUCGUCUUAUCGGAAAAAUCUGGAGCUACAAUUAAGGUGAUCAUAAUUAAUGAACUCUAAAGGUAGGG
Molecule: long non-coding RNA, 472 nt
Organism: Dendronephthya gigantea
Lineage: Eukaryota; Metazoa; Cnidaria; Anthozoa; Malacalcyonacea; Nephtheidae
Exons: 3
Source: RefSeq, a predicted model, not a curated record